RNAcentral lists this ribosomal RNA (327 nucleotides) under uncultured eukaryote. RNAcentral describes it as "partial 18S ribosomal RNA". It matches the Rfam family "Eukaryotic small subunit ribosomal RNA", at positions 1470 to 1796 of the family's 1831-position model. The record is from RNAcentral.
CCCUUAGAUGAUUUGGGCUGCACGCGCGCUACACUGACCCUAACAAUGAGCAACUGUCUGGCCUGAGAUGGCUGGGUAGCCUUUUCAACCCAUGUCAUGAUUGGGCUAGAUUUUUGUAAGUCUUGAUCUCUAACGAGGAAUCCCUAGUAUGUGUGAAUCAUCAAUCCAUGCAGAUUAUGUCCCUGCCCUUUGUACACACCGCCCGUCGCUCCUACCGAUUGAGUGGUCCGGUGAGGCCUUGGGAGGGCUAAGUGGGCUGUGUUUCACAGACUACCUGGCCCGAACCUGGUCAAACCUUAUCACUUAGAGGAAGGAGAAGUCGUAACA